UCUCUGUGCGCGUGUGCGUGAGUGUGCGGGCCUCCUUGGCCACGCCGCCCCAGCGCCUGCCUGCUGUCCACCUCUGCCUGGGGGCGCCUGGGCGCCGGCCGCGUGCUUGAGGCCCCGCCCUCCCCUCGCCUAGUCUGGA
This 139-nucleotide long non-coding RNA is filed under the name Ictidomys tridecemlineatus (thirteen-lined ground squirrel). RNAcentral's name for it is "partial H19". Lineage: Eukaryota; Metazoa; Chordata; Mammalia; Rodentia; Sciuridae. The record is from RNAcentral.